GACGAACGCUGGCGGCGUGCUUAACACAUGCAAGUCGAGCGGUAAGGCCCUUUCGGGGGUACACGAGCGGCGAACGGGUGAGUAACACGUGGGUGACCUGCCCUCAGCUCUGGGAUAAGGCCCGGGAAACGUGGGUCCUAAUACCGGAUAUGACUUCAUGACGCAUGUUGUGGAGUGGAAAGCCUUGUGCGGCUGAGGAUGGGCCCG
This 207-nucleotide ribosomal RNA is filed under the name uncultured bacterium. RNAcentral describes it as "partial 16S ribosomal RNA". It matches the Rfam family "Bacterial small subunit ribosomal RNA", at positions 28 to 233 of the family's 1533-position model. The record is from RNAcentral.